Molecule: ribosomal RNA, 38 nt
Filed under: fungal sp. C018
Lineage: Eukaryota; Fungi
Also listed under: 6 other names
Description: partial 28S ribosomal RNA
Source: RNAcentral
UCGAUCUCAAAUCAAGUAAGACUACCCGCUGAACUUAA